This 481-nucleotide ribosomal RNA is filed under the name uncultured beta proteobacterium. RNAcentral's name for it is "bacterial SSU rRNA". It matches the Rfam family "Bacterial small subunit ribosomal RNA", at positions 30 to 504 of the family's 1533-position model. Lineage: Bacteria; Pseudomonadati; Pseudomonadota; Betaproteobacteria. The record is from RNAcentral.
AUUGAACGCUGGCGGCAUGCUUUACACAUGCAAGUCGAACGGCAGCACGGGCUUCGGCCUGGUGGCGAGUGGCGAACGGGUGAGUAAUAUAUCGGAACGUACCCAGAAGUGGGGGAUAACGUAGCGAAAGUUACGCUAAUACCGCAUACGAUCUACGGAUGAAAGUGGGGGACCUUCGGGCCUCAUGCUUUUGGAGCGGCCGAUAUCUGAUUAGCUAGUAGGUGGGGUAAAGGCCCACCUAGGCGACGAUCAGUAGCUGGUCUGAGAGGACGACCAGCCACACUGGAACUGAGACACGGUCCAGACUCCUACGGGAGGCAGCAGUGGGGAAUUUUGGACAAUGGGCGCAAGCCUGAUCCAGCAAUGCCGCGUGAGUGAAGAAGGCCUUCGGGUUGUAAAGCUCUUUUGUCAGGGAAGAAACGGCUGAGGCUAAUAUCCUCGGCUAAUGACGGUACCUGAAGAAUAAGCACCGGCUAACUAC